CAGCAGCCACGGGAAUGCGUAGGGUGCGAGCGUUAAUCGGAAUUACUGGGCGUAAAGCGUGCGCAGGCGGUUCGUUAAGACAGAUGUGAAAUCCCCGGGCUUAACCUGGGAACUGCAUUUGUGACUGGCGAGCUAGAGCAUGGCAGAGGGGGGUAGAAUUCCACGUGUAGCAGUGAAAUGCGUAGAGAUGUGGAGGAAUACCGAUGGCGAAGGCAGCCCCCUGGGCCAAUACUGACGCUCAUGCACGAAAGCGUGGGGAGCAAACAGGAUUAGAUACCCCCGUAGUCCCUGUCUCUUAUAC
RNAcentral lists this ribosomal RNA (301 nucleotides) under uncultured bacterium. Its description in RNAcentral is "partial 16S ribosomal RNA". It matches the Rfam family "Bacterial small subunit ribosomal RNA", at positions 509 to 807 of the family's 1533-position model. The record is from RNAcentral.